CCAGCAGCCGCGGUAAUUCCAGCUCCAGAAGCGUAUGCUAAAGUUGUUGCAGUUAAAAAGCUCGUAGUUGAAUUUCUGGCCGUGCUGACCGGGCCUCUGGAUGAAUGUCCUUUGUUGCCCGCGUCGGCGUCGCCAUCCUUCCCCUCUUUUUGGGGGGAUCGUUUACUGUAAACAAAAUAGAGUGUUCAAAGCAGGUCGUAGGACCGGGAUAUUCGUUAUGGGAUAAUUAGAUAGGACUUGUGUGCUAUUUUGUUGGUUUGCACACGCGAGUAAUGAUUAAUAGGAGCAGUUGGGGAUAUUCGUAUUUAGCAGCUAGAGGUGAAAUUCUUGGAUUUGCGAAAGAC
This 344-nucleotide ribosomal RNA is filed under the name uncultured eukaryote. RNAcentral's name for it is "SSU rRNA". It matches the Rfam family "Eukaryotic small subunit ribosomal RNA", at positions 567 to 936 of the family's 1831-position model. The record is from RNAcentral.